This is a long non-coding RNA of Saccostrea cuccullata (small rock oyster), 322 nucleotides long. RefSeq lists it as uncharacterized. The record is from RefSeq and is a predicted model, not a curated record. Lineage: Eukaryota; Metazoa; Mollusca; Bivalvia; Ostreida; Ostreidae. The transcript is spliced from 3 exons.
GGUGUUACGGAAGAAGUAACAUUUUUGCAGAACAGAUUUUUUGUAUGCUGUGUCCGUGUCAGAUACAUAAGGUGAAGCAAGCUAUAUGAACUAGACAGUGUAUUCAGCUUUCUCUGCUGAAAUAAUGUGACCAAAUCAAGUGUCACCUGGAAAGAGGAAUGUCAAGGGUGCUUUUUACAUUAACUCCAAAAUAGCCGUUGGAAAGUUCAAGCCAGAUCUGCUACAGCAAACUGAACAUAAAGUUGCAUACUUGUGUGUCAGGAAACGAGGAACAUGUAUGGCUGGACUGAGAAUCUAACCGGGGAUCCCUGCAUCACUACUU